CACAUAUUGUGAGCUCGAUGAGUAGGGCGGGACACGUGGUAUCCUGUCUGAAUAUGGGGGGACCAUCCUCCAAGGCUAAAUACUCCUGACUGACCGAUAGUGAACCAGUACCGUGAGGGAAAGGCGAAAAGAACCCCGGCGAGGGGAGUGAAAAAGAACCUGAAACCGUGUACGUACAAGCAGUGGGAGCACGCUUAGGCGUGUGACUGCGUACCUUUUGUAUAAUGGGUCAGCGACUUAUAUUCUGUAGCAAGGUUAACCGAAUAGGGGAGCCGAAGGGAAACCGAGUCUUAACUGGGCGUUAAGUUGCAGGGUAUAGACCCGAAACCCGGUGAUCUAGCCAUGGGCAGGUUGAAGGUUGGGUAACACUAACUGGAGGACCGAACCGACUAAUGUUGAAAAAUUAGCGGAUGACUUGUGGCUGGGGGUGAAAGGCCAAUCAAACCGGGAGAUAGCUGGUUCUCCCCGAAAGCUAUUUAGGUAGCGCCUCGUGAAUUCAUCUCCGGGGGUAGAGCACUGUUUCGGCAAGGGGGUCAUCCCGACUUACCAACCCGAUGCAAACUGCGAAUACCGGAGAAUGUUAUCACGGGAGACACACGGCGGGUGCUAACGUCCGUCGUGAAGAGGGAAACAACCCAGACCGCCAGCUAAGGUCCCAAAGUCAUGGUUAAGUGGGAAACGAUGUGGGAAGGCCCAGACAGCCAGGAUGUUGGCUUAGAAGCAGCCAUCAUUUAAAGAAAGCGUAAUAGCUCACUGGUCGAGUCGGCCUGCGCGGAAGAUGUAACGGGGCUAAACCAUGCACCGAAGCUGCGGCAGCGACACUAUGUGUUGUUGGGUAGGGGAGCGUUCUGUAAGCCUGCGAAGGUGUGCUGUGAGGCAUGCUGGAGGUAUCAGAAGUGCGAAUGCUGACAUAAGUAACGAUAAAGCGGGUGAAAAGCCCGCUCGCCGGAAGACCAAGGGUUCCUGUCCAACGUUAAUCGGGGCAGGGUGAGUCGACCCCUAAGGCGAGGCCGAAAGGCGUAGUCGAUGGGAAACAGGUUAAUAUUCCUGUACUUGGUGUUACUGCGAAGGGGGGACGGAGAAGGCUAUGUUGGCCGGGC
This 1100-nucleotide ribosomal RNA is filed under the name Escherichia coli. RNAcentral's name for it is "partial 23S ribosomal RNA". It matches the Rfam family "Bacterial large subunit ribosomal RNA", at positions 391 to 1496 of the family's 2925-position model. The record is from RNAcentral. Lineage: Bacteria; Pseudomonadati; Pseudomonadota; Gammaproteobacteria; Enterobacterales; Enterobacteriaceae.